This 463-nucleotide ribosomal RNA is filed under the name uncultured bacterium. Its description in RNAcentral is "bacterial SSU rRNA". It matches the Rfam family "Bacterial small subunit ribosomal RNA", at positions 917 to 1382 of the family's 1533-position model. The record is from RNAcentral.
GGGCCCGCACAAGCGGUGGAGCAUGUGGUUUAAUUCGACGCAACGCGCAGAACCUUACCAGGCCUUGACAUCCCAUGACCGGCGCAGAGAUGCGCUUUUCCCUUCGGGGACGUGGAGACAGGUGCUGCAUGGCUGUCGUCAGCUCGUGUCGUGAGAUGUUGGGUUAAGUCCCGCAACGAGCGCAACCCUCGCCUUCAGUUGCCAUCAUUCAGUUGGGCACUCUGGAGGGACUGCCGGUGACAAGCCGGAGGAAGGUGGGGAUGACGUCAAGUCCUCAUGGCCCUUACGGCCUGGGCUACACACGUGCUACAAUGGUGGUGACAGAGGGCAGCGAUCCCGCGAGGGGGAGCAAAUCUCUAAAAGCCAUCUCAGUUCAGAUCGCACUCUGCAACUCGAGUGCGUGAAGGUGGAAUCGCUAGUAAUCGCAGAACAGCAGGCUGCGGUGAAUACGUUCCCGGGCCUU